AGCAGCCGCGGUAAUUCCAGCUCCAAUAGCGUAUAUUAAAGUUGUUGCAGUUAAAAAGCUCGUAGUUGAAUUUCGAGAUCAGUACGCUGGUCGUGCCUUCGGUAUGCACUGGUGUCACUGGUUUCUCCCUUCUGAAGAACCGUCAUGUCAUUAAGUUGGUGUGGCGGGGAAUCAGGACUGUUACUUUGAAAAAAUUAGAGUGUUUAAAGCAGGCUCGCGCUUGAAUACAUUAGCAUGGAAUAAUGAAAUAGGACGUUUGACCCUAUUUUGUUGGUUUCUAGGAUCGACGUAAUGAUUAAUAGGGAUAGUUGGGGGCAUUAGUAUUCAAUUGUCAGAGGUGAAAUUCUUGGAUUUAUUGAAGACUAACUACUGCGAAAGCAUUUGCCAAGGAUGUUUUCAUUAAUCAAGAACGAAAGUUAGGGGAUCGAAGACGAUCAGAUACCGUCGUAGUCUUAACCAUAAACUAUGCCGACUAGGGAUCGGAUGAUG
RNAcentral lists this ribosomal RNA (489 nucleotides) under uncultured Glomus. Its description in RNAcentral is "SSU rRNA". It matches the Rfam family "Eukaryotic small subunit ribosomal RNA", at positions 569 to 1062 of the family's 1831-position model. Lineage: Eukaryota; Fungi; Glomeromycota; Glomeromycetes; Glomerales; Glomeraceae. The record is from RNAcentral.